AAGAAACUAGUAAAUAUAUUACAUUAGUUUGUCAAGCUAAAAUUACUUUUAAGUGUUGCUUA
Molecule: transfer RNA, 62 nt
Filed under: Hyalella kochi
Lineage: Eukaryota; Metazoa; Arthropoda; Malacostraca; Amphipoda; Hyalellidae
Description: tRNA-Asp
Source: RNAcentral